This 879-nucleotide long non-coding RNA is filed under the name Homo sapiens (human). RNAcentral describes it as "BBOX1 antisense RNA 1". The record is from RNAcentral. Lineage: Eukaryota; Metazoa; Chordata; Mammalia; Primates; Hominidae.
AAUCAGCGAGACUCCGUGGGCGUAGGACCCUCCGAGCCAGGUGCGGGAUAUAAUCUCGUGGUGCGACGCUUUUUAAGCCCUUCAGAAAAGCGCAGUGUUCGGGUGGGAGUGACCCGAUUUUCCAGGUGCCGCCCGUCACCCCUUUCUUUGACUCAGAAAGGGAACUCCCUGACCCCUUGCGCUUCCCAAGUGAGGCAAUGCCUCGCCCUGCUUCGGCUCGCGCACGGUGCGCGCACCCGCUGACCUGCACCCACUGUCUGGCACUCCUUAGUGAGAUGAACCCGGUACCUCAGAUGGAAAUGCAGAAAUCACCCGUCUUCUGCGUCGCUCACGCUGGGAGCUGUAGACCGGAGCUGUUCCUAUUCGGCCAUCUUGGCUCCUCCUGUAACAAUUUCUUGAGAUGAAGAUCCUGAAUACCAAAGAGGGCCGCUGACAGGUCUAGGAGUACACUUCUAGCACCUAGCAGAGAGAGGCUUCACUACAUCAUGCUUCCUGACAUCUCUCCCUUUGAAGAGCAGUCAGACUCCUGCUUUGCUCUUCAGACUUAAUUUGGGGGUUUAACAGCCAUGUGAAGUGCUCACUCCCCCUUUGCCUUCUGCCAUGAUUGUGUGUUUCCUGAGGCCUCCCCAGAAGCUGAGAAGAUGCUUCCUGUACAGCCUGCAGAACUGGAUAGCCCAGAGCUAUUCCAUGUAUUCCAUGGAUGGGCACAUUUGGAAGUUUGGUUCUAAAAUCUAAAAGAAGAAAUUUAAGUGUGCUGAAGAUAACUGCAACUCCAAACCUAACGCUGUGUAAUUCUAUGUUCUGCCAUUUUGAAGCAAAGUGGAACCAGAAGUGAGAGGACUAUUUCUAGGUCAUGCUACGGUUACCCUGACCCCAGUC